CCUACGGGGGGCAGCAGUGAGGAAUAUUGGUCAAUGGGCGGUAGCCUGAACCAGCCAAGUAGCGUGAAGGAUGAAGGUUCUAUGGAUUGUAAACUUCUUUUAUAAAGGAAUAAAGUGAGGCACGUGUGCCUUUUUGUAUGUACUUUAUGAAUAAGGAUCGGCUAACUCCGUGCCAGCAGCCGCGGUAAUACGGAGGAUCCGAGCGUUAUCCGGAUUUAUUGGGUUUAAAGGGAGCGUAGAUGGGUUGUUAAGUCAGUUGUGAAAGUUUGCGGCUCAACCGUAAAAUUGCAAUUGAUACUGGCGUC
This 305-nucleotide ribosomal RNA is filed under the name uncultured bacterium. RNAcentral describes it as "bacterial SSU rRNA". It matches the Rfam family "Bacterial small subunit ribosomal RNA", at positions 338 to 640 of the family's 1533-position model. The record is from RNAcentral.